CCUACGGGAGGCAGCAGUGAGGAAUAUUGGUCAAUGGCCGAGAGUCUGAACCAGCCAAGUAGCGUGAAGGAUGACUGCCCUAUGGGUUGUAAACUUCUUUUAUAUGGGAAUAAUAUGUUCCACGUGUAGCAUUUUGUCUGUACCAUAUGAAUAAGGAUCGGCUAACUCCGUGCCAGCAGCCGCGGUAAUACGGAGGAUCCGAGCGUUAUCCGGAUUUAUUGGGUUUAAAGGGAGCGUAGGUGGAUUGUUAAGUCAGUUGUUAAAGUUUGGGGCUCAACCGUAAAAUUGCAGUUGAAACUGGCAGUCUCGAGUACAGUCGAGGUAGGCGGAAUUCGUGGUGUAGCGGUGAAAUGCUUAGAUAUCACGUAGAACUCCGAUAGCGAAGGCAGUUCACCGGACUGCAACUGACACUGAAGCUCGAGAGCGUGGGUAGCAAACAGGAUUAGAUACCCCGGUAGUC
This 460-nucleotide ribosomal RNA is filed under the name uncultured bacterium. RNAcentral's name for it is "partial 16S ribosomal RNA". It matches the Rfam family "Bacterial small subunit ribosomal RNA", at positions 338 to 795 of the family's 1533-position model. The record is from RNAcentral.